This 489-nucleotide ribosomal RNA is filed under the name Streptococcus mutans. RNAcentral describes it as "bacterial SSU rRNA". It matches the Rfam family "Bacterial small subunit ribosomal RNA", at positions 28 to 493 of the family's 1533-position model. Lineage: Bacteria; Bacillati; Bacillota; Bacilli; Lactobacillales; Streptococcaceae. The record is from RNAcentral.
GACGAACGCUGGCGGCGUGCCUAAUACAUGCAAGUGGGACGCAAGGGAACACACUGUGCUUGCACACCGUGUUUUCUUGAGUCGCGAACGGGUGAGUAACGCGUAGGUAACCUGCCUAUUAGCGGGGGAUAACUAUUGGAAACGAUAGCUAAUACCGCAUAAUAUUAAUUAUUGCAUGAUAAUUGAUUGAAAGAUGCAAGCGCAUCACUAGUAGAUGGACCUGCGUUGUAUUAGCUAGUUGGUAAGGUAAGAGCUUACCAAGGCGACGAUACAUAGCCGACCUGAGAGGGUGAUCGGCCACACUGGGACUGAGACACGGCCCAGACUCCUACGGGAGGCAGCAGUAGGGAAUCUUCGGCAAUGGACGAAAGUCUGACCGAGCAACGCCGCGUGAGUGAAGAAGGUUUUCGGAUCGUAAAGCUCUGUUGUAAGUCAAGAACGUGUGUGAGAGUGGAAAGUUCACACAGUGACGGAGCUACCAAAAAGGAC